GGAAUUCGAUUAGAGUUUGAUCAUGGCUCAGAUUGAACGCUGGGGGCAUGCCUUACACAUGCAAGUCGAACGGUAACAGGUCUUCGGAUGCUGACGAGUGGCGAACGGGUGAGUAAUACAUCGGAACGUGCCCGAUCGUGGGGGAUAACGGAGCGAAAGCUUUGCUAAUACCGCAUACGAUCUACGGAUGAAAGCAGGGGACCGCAAGGCCUUGCGCGGACGGAGCGGCCGAUGGCAGAUUAGGUAGUUGGUGGGAUAAAAGCUUACCAAGCCGACGAUCUGUAGCUGGUCUGAGAGGACGACCAGCCACACUGGGACUGAGACACGGCCCAGACUCCUACGGGAGGCAGCAGUGGGGAAUUUUGGACAAUGGGCGAAAGCCUGAUCCAGCCAUGCCGCGUGCAGGAUGAAGGCCUUCGGGUUGUAAACUGCUUUUGUACGGAACGAAAAGACUCUUUCUAAUAAAGAGGGUCCAUGACGGUACCGUAAGAAUAAGCACCGGCUAACUACGUGCCAGCAGCCGCGGUAAUACGAAUCACUAGUGAAUUCGCGGCCGCCUGCAGGUCGACCAUAUGGGAGAGCUCCCAA
This 588-nucleotide ribosomal RNA is filed under the name uncultured beta proteobacterium. Its description in RNAcentral is "bacterial SSU rRNA". It matches the Rfam family "Bacterial small subunit ribosomal RNA", at positions 1 to 599 of the family's 1533-position model. The record is from RNAcentral. Lineage: Bacteria; Pseudomonadati; Pseudomonadota; Betaproteobacteria.